RNAcentral lists this transfer RNA (69 nucleotides) under Dipodomys ordii (Ord's kangaroo rat). It matches the Rfam family "tRNA". Rfam says of the family: Transfer RNA (tRNA) molecules are approximately 80 nucleotides in length. The record is from Rfam by way of RNAcentral. Lineage: Eukaryota; Metazoa; Chordata; Mammalia; Rodentia; Heteromyidae.
GGGAAAGUGGCUCAGUGGUAGAGUGCUUGCCUUGCAUACAUGAGGCCUGGGUUCAAUUCCUCAGUACCA